CAAUAGCGUAUAUUAAAGUUGUUGCAGUUAAAAAGCUCGUAGUUGGAUUUCUGGUGGGAGCGAUCGGUCUGGCGCUUAGCGCGAGUACUUGCAUCGUCUCCGGCCAUCCUUGGGGAGAGUCUGUCUGGCAUUAAGUUGUCGGGCAGAGGAUCCUCAUCGUUUACUGUGAACAAAUUAGAGUGUUCAAAGCAGGCUUAUGCCGUUGAAUAUAUUAGCAUGGAAUAAUAAGAUAGGACUUUGGUACUAUUUUGUUGGUUUGCGCACCAAAGUAAUGAUUAAUAGGGACAGUUGGGGGUAUUCGUAUUCCGUUGUCAGAGGUGAAAUUCUUGGAUUUACGGAAGACGAACUACUGCGAAAGCAUUUACCAAGGAUGUUUUCAUUAA
This 383-nucleotide ribosomal RNA is filed under the name uncultured eukaryote. RNAcentral's name for it is "partial 18S ribosomal RNA". It matches the Rfam family "Eukaryotic small subunit ribosomal RNA", at positions 592 to 976 of the family's 1831-position model. The record is from RNAcentral.